UUACGGCCAGGAUGUCAAGGGGCGGAUUCGCUGCUUCUCGCGCGGCGGAUCGGAUGUCACCGGCGCGAUCGUCGCCCGCGCCGUCCAC
This 88-nucleotide transfer RNA is filed under the name Capsulimonas corticalis. RNAcentral describes it as "tRNA-Glu". The record is from RNAcentral. Lineage: Bacteria; Bacillati; Armatimonadota; Armatimonadia; Capsulimonadales; Capsulimonadaceae.